This 808-nucleotide ribosomal RNA is filed under the name Exiguobacterium aestuarii. RNAcentral describes it as "bacterial SSU rRNA". It matches the Rfam family "Bacterial small subunit ribosomal RNA", at positions 68 to 855 of the family's 1533-position model. Lineage: Bacteria; Bacillati; Bacillota; Bacilli; Caryophanales. The record is from RNAcentral.
UAUGAACCCUUCGGGGGGACGACGGCGGAAUGAGCGGCGGACGGGUGAGUAACACGUAAAGAACCUGCCCAUAGGUCUGGGAUAACCACGAGAAAUCGGGGCUAAUACCGGAUGUGUCAUCGGACCGCAUGGUCCGUUGAUGAAAGGCGCUCCGGCGUCGCCCAUGGAUGGCUUUGCGGUGCAUUAGCUAGUUGGUGGGGUAACGGCCCACCAAGGCGACGAUGCAUAGCCGACCUGAGAGGGUGAUCGGCCACACUGGGACUGAGACACGGCCCAGACUCCUACGGGAGGCAGCAGUAGGGAAUCUUCCACAAUGGACGAAAGUCUGAUGGAGCAACGCCGCGUGAACGAUGAAGGCUUUCGGGUCGUAAAGUUCUGUUGUAAGGGAAGAACAAGUGCCGCAGGCAAUGGCGGCACCUUGACGGUACCUUGCGAGAAAGCCACGGCUAACUACGUGCCAGCAGCCGCGGUAAUACGUAGGUGGCAAGCGUUGUCCGGAAUUAUUGGGCGUAAAGCGCGCGCAGGCGGCCUCUUAAGUCUGAUGUGAAAGCCCCCGGCUCAACCGGGGAGGGCCAUUGGAAACUGGGAGGCUUGAGUAUAGGAGAGAAGAGUGGAAUUCCACGUGUAGCGGUGAAAUGCGUAGAGAUGUGGAGGAACACCAGUGGCGAAGGCGACUCUUUGGGCUAUAACUGACGCUGAGGCGCGAAAGCGUGAGGAGCAAACAGGAUUAGAUACCCUGGGUAGUCCACGCCGUAAACGAUGAGUGCUAGGUGUUGGAGGGUUUCCGCCCUUUCAGUGCUGAAGCUAA